GGGCACGUGGUCUAGGGGUAUGACGUCUGCUUCGCACUGAUUAAGUAUUGAAAUGACCCCUAACAUAGGAAUCAUCUUAUGUACUGAUCUACAGUGGUCUGCUGAAGGUCCGGGGUUCAAUUCCCCGCGUGUCCA
Molecule: transfer RNA, 135 nt
Filed under: Annulohypoxylon maeteangense
Lineage: Eukaryota; Fungi; Ascomycota; Sordariomycetes; Xylariales; Hypoxylaceae
Description: tRNA-Ala
Rfam family: tRNA
About the family: Transfer RNA (tRNA) molecules are approximately 80 nucleotides in length. Their secondary structure includes four short double-helical elements and three loops (D, anti-codon, and T loops).
Source: RNAcentral